CUGAAAUGGCACAUGUUGAAAACGGUAACUGUCUUAUUCCAGAUUCUGAAUAAUGAUGUGGCAGUCAACUUGCUUGUUAACUAUCAAGAAAUGUUGAAGGUGAAUUCUUUACUGCUGAACUGGAUGAGAUGUUUACAUGGACAAAAAGAUUGAGAAGCAAAAACACAAUGAGAAAGUGUAUUUUGGCCUAGAAAAUGGAAUUUGUGAAACCUUGCCCCUGCCUUCAUAGGAAUGGAUUGCUUAUUAGGACCCCUCCCCUGCUCUCUCAUCUUCAAGAUGCUUUGUGCUCAGUGAGCACAGAAGUUAGCUUCUGUAACAAGUGAAGAUGCUGUAGGAGAGUACUACUUUCUAUGGAAUAGCUUUCUUUCUUUUUUCCCUGAUGAAUC
Molecule: long non-coding RNA, 386 nt
Organism: Capra hircus (goat)
Lineage: Eukaryota; Metazoa; Chordata; Mammalia; Artiodactyla; Bovidae
Exons: 3
Source: RefSeq, a predicted model, not a curated record